This 789-nucleotide ribosomal RNA is filed under the name Enterococcus mundtii. Its description in RNAcentral is "bacterial SSU rRNA". It matches the Rfam family "Bacterial small subunit ribosomal RNA", at positions 23 to 783 of the family's 1533-position model. Lineage: Bacteria; Bacillati; Bacillota; Bacilli; Lactobacillales; Enterococcaceae. The record is from RNAcentral.
CUCAGGACGAACGCUGGCGGCGUGCCUAAUACAUGCAAGUCGAACGCUUCUUUUCCCACCGGAGCUUGCUCCACCGGGAAAAGAGGAGUGGCGAACGGGUGAGUAACACGUGGGUAACCUGCCCAUCAGAAGGGGAUAACACUUGGAAACAGGUGCUAAUACCGUAUAACAAUCGAAACCGCAUGGUUUCGUUUUGAAAGGCGCUUUACGGUGCCGCUGAUGGAUGGACCCGCGGUGCAUUAGCUAGUUGGUGAGGUAACGGCUCACCAAGGCCACGAUGCAUAGCCGACCUGAGAGGGUGAUCGGCCACAUUGGGACUGAGACACGGCCCAAACUCCUACGGGAGGCAGCAGUAGGGAAUCUUCGGCAAUGGACGAAAGUCUGACCGAGCAACGCCGCGUGAGUGAAGAAGGUUUUCGGAUCGUAAAACUCUGUUGUUAGAGAAGAACAAGGGUGAGAGUAACUGUUCACCCCUUGACGGUAUCUAACCAGAAAGCCACGGCUAACUACGUGCCAGCAGCCGCGGUAAUACGUAGGUGGCAAGCGUUGUCCGGAUUUAUUGGGCGUAAAGCGAGCGCAGGCGGUUUCUUAAGUCUGAUGUGAAAGCCCCCGGCUCAACCGGGGAGGGUCAUUGGAAACUGGGAGACUUGAGUGCAGAAGAGGAGAGUGGAAUUCCAUGUGUAGCGGUGAAAUGCGUAGAUAUAUGGAGGAACACCAGUGGCGAAGGCGGCUCUCUGGUCUGUAACUGACGCUGAGGCUCGAAAGCGUGGGGAGCAAACAGGAUUAGAU